RNAcentral lists this ribosomal RNA (164 nucleotides) under uncultured bacterium. Its description in RNAcentral is "partial 16S rRNA". It matches the Rfam family "Bacterial small subunit ribosomal RNA", at positions 355 to 511 of the family's 1533-position model. The record is from RNAcentral.
UAGGGAAUCUUCCACAAUGGGCGAAAGCCUGAUGGAGCGACGCCGCGUGUGUGAUGAAGGGUUUCGGCUCGUAAAACACUGUUGUAAGAGAAGAAUGACAUUGAGAGUAACUGUUCAAUGUGUGACGGUAUCUUACCAGAAAGGAACGGCUAAAUACGUGCCAC